GCUGGGCAUGGUGGUACAUGCCUGUAAUCCCAGUGGCUUGGGAAGCUAAGGCAGGAGGAUUGCGAGUUCAAAGCCUGCUUCAGUAAAAUCGAGGUGCUAGCAACUCUGUGAGACCCUGUCUCCA
RNAcentral lists this small RNA (124 nucleotides) under Marmota monax (woodchuck). The record is from RNAcentral. Lineage: Eukaryota; Metazoa; Chordata; Mammalia; Rodentia; Sciuridae.